UCCUACGGGAGGCAGCAGUGGGGAAUAUUGCACAAUGGGGGAAACCCUGAUGCAGCCAUGCCGCGUGUGUGAAGAAGGCCUUCGGGUUGUAAAGCACUUUCAGUAGGGAGGAAGGUAGUGUAGUUAACACCUGCAUUAUUUGACGUUACCUACAGAAGAAGCACCGGCUAACUCCGUGCCAGCAGCCGCGGUAAUACGGAGGGUGCGAGCGUUAAUCGGAAUUACUGGGCGUAAAGCGCAUGCAGGCGGCCUGUUAAGUCAGAUGUGAAAGCCCGGGGCUUAACCUCGGAAUUGCAUUUGAAACUGGCAGGCUAGAGUCUUGUAGAGGGGGGUAGAAUUUCAGGUGUAGCGGUGAAAUGCGUAGAGAUCUGAAGGAAUACCAGUGGCGAAGGCGGCCCCCUGGACAAAGACUGACGCUCAGAUGCGAAAGCGUGGGGAGCAAACAGGAUUAGAUACCCUGGUAGUCCACGCCGUAAACGAUGUCUACUUGGAGGUUGUGGCCUUGAGCCGUGGCUUUCGGAGCUAACGCGUUAAGUAGACCGCCUGGGGAGUACGGUCGCAAGAUUAAAACUCAAAGGAAUUGACGGA
This 588-nucleotide ribosomal RNA is filed under the name uncultured bacterium. Its description in RNAcentral is "bacterial SSU rRNA". It matches the Rfam family "Bacterial small subunit ribosomal RNA", at positions 337 to 917 of the family's 1533-position model. The record is from RNAcentral.